RNAcentral lists this unclassified non-coding RNA (1235 nucleotides) under Rhizobium sp. Its description in RNAcentral is "partial 16S-23S ribosomal RNA intergenic spacer". The stretch from base 335 to 408 matches the Rfam family "tRNA". The record is from RNAcentral. Lineage: Bacteria; Pseudomonadati; Pseudomonadota; Alphaproteobacteria; Hyphomicrobiales; Rhizobiaceae.
UUGGAUUACGGAUUACCGGACAUCCUGGUCACGCUUUUUAGAACAUAGAUGGCGCCAGUCAGGUGACCAUCGCAACACAUACGCUGUUGAGAUGUGAAAUGUCCUUUGACUUCAGUGUCAUCGGAUACAGAAGCACCGCAGUAAGGCGAAUACCGCCGUCUACGUUUCUCUUUCUCGAUUAGGAUAUGUCCUCACGCUGUCGCGGCUUUGCCGCUGCGCUCCGGACGGGGCGCCGGACGACCGGCGUGGGCCUUUGGCCCUGUUUGGUGGUCUGAUCGGAGUUCGAUUGACUGUCGCCUGUUGGGUUCGCUCAGUGUGUGUGUACACGUAAAUCGGGCCCGUAGCUCAGUCGGUUAGAGCACACGCUUGAUAAGCGUGGGGUCGGUAGUUCGAGUCUACCCGGGCCCACCAUAUUCUCUCCCGACUUGACGUCGGGGUUGAAGAAUUGGGGCUGUAGCUCAGCUGGGAGAGCACCUGCUUUGCAAGCAGGGGGUCAGCGGUUCGAUCCCGCUCAGCUCCACCAAAUUCUUGGUGGAAGACGGAAUAUCCUAAGAGAGAAAUAAAAGUUUGCAUCGGUUCGUUCGAGCCUGAUGCCUGUUCUGCUUACAUUGUGAAGAGAAGAUAUGUCUGGAAGCUUCCAGGUGUUUUGCGCAAUUCUUGACGAAUUGCUUGAGACGUCCGAGCCCAGUCCUGUUAAAGCUGUCGACGGUCUAGCCGAUCCGAGACAGACGAGGGACUGGAGGUAGGAAGGAAGCUUGUUACUCAAGGCAUGUUUGUUGUUGGUGGUUUGGUCCGCUGAAGCUUCAAGUCCGCAAGGAUUUGGGGAUUUUGGUGUUUCCGGUCAUCUCUGACGGCAUGUUGAUGGAUGUUGCCUGACCGCGCAUCCCCGGACAGAUCUCGAGAAGCUGGUCUUAAGAUACGACCUCGAAGUGCACCGGCGUGCCUUCAUAUGAGGAUUGUAUCGAACACGUCGAUGGCAUCUGGAUUUGGAUUUGGUUGUAAAAGGUAACCUUAUCCGUUGGAUAACUGGUGCGGCACACUCACAAGGUGUCCGUAUGGCCAGGCUUGGCACCCCUUCGAGCGCAAGCGAGGAGGAUAGGUUUGCCAAGACCAACUCAAGGAUGAGCAUUGGCAAUGAGAACGAUCAAGUGAAAUAAGGGCAAUUGGUGGAUGCCUUGGCAUGCACAGGCGAUGAAGGACGUGAUACGCUGCGAUAAGCCGUGGGAGCUGCGAAU